CUACGGGGGGCUCCAGUGGGGAAUAUUGCACAAUGGGCGCAAGCCUGAUGCAGCCAUGCCGCGUGUAUGAAGAAGGCCUUCGGGUUGUAAAGUACUUUCAGCGGGGAGGAAGGGAGUAAAGUUAAUACCUUUGCUCAUUGACGUUACCCGCAGAAGAAGCACCGGCUAACUCCGUGCCAGCAGCCGCGGUAAUACGGAGGGUGCAAGCGUUAAUCGGAAUUACUGGGCGUAAAGCGCACGCAGGCGGUUUGUUAAGUCAGAUGUGAAAUCCCCGGGCUCAACCUGGGAACUGCAUCUGAUACGGGCAAGCUUGAGUCUCGUAGAGGGGGGUAGAAUUCCAGGUGUAGCGGUGAAAUGCGUAGAGAUCUGGAGGAAUACCGGUGGCGAAGGCGGCCCCCUGGACGAAGACUGAUGCUCAGGUGCGAAAGCGUGGGGAGCAAACAGGAUUAGAUACCCUUGUAGUC
RNAcentral lists this ribosomal RNA (464 nucleotides) under uncultured bacterium. RNAcentral describes it as "partial 16S ribosomal RNA". It matches the Rfam family "Bacterial small subunit ribosomal RNA", at positions 339 to 795 of the family's 1533-position model. The record is from RNAcentral.